Molecule: ribosomal RNA, 245 nt
Filed under: uncultured bacterium
Lineage: Bacteria
Description: partial 16S ribosomal RNA
Rfam family: Bacterial small subunit ribosomal RNA
Source: RNAcentral
UACGUAGGGGGCGAGCGUUGUCCGGAUUUACUGGGCGUAAAGAGCGCGUAGGCGGCUUGUUAAGUUGGCUGUGAAAGGUCCUGGCUCAACUGGGAUAGGUCAGCCAAGACUGGCAAGCUUGAGGGCGGUAGAGGAAGGUGGAAUUCCGGGUGUAGUGGUGAAAUGCGUAGAUAUCCGGAGGAACACCAGUGGCGAAGGCGGCCUUCUGGGCCGUACCUGACGCUGAGGCGCGAAAGCGUGGGGAG